AGAGUUUGAUCCUGGCUCAGAAUGAACGCUUGCGGCGUGGAUUAGGCAUGCAAGUCGAACGAGAAAACUCCCUUCGGGGGAUGAGUAAAGUGGCGAACGGGUGAGUAAGGCGUAAAUGAUCUACCCUCAUGACGGGGAUAACAGUUCGAAAGGACUGCUAAUACCGGAUGUGAUCUUUGGCUUGCGGGCUGGAGAUUAAAGAUGGCCUCUGUUUCAAGCUGUCGCAUGAGGAGGAGUUUACGUGCUAUUAGCUUGUUGGUGGGGUAACGGCCCACCAAGGCGAUGAUGGCUAGCCGGCCUGAGAGGGUGUCCGGCCACACUGGGACUGAGACACUGCCCAGACUCCUACGGGAGGCUGCAGUCGAGAAUCUUCCACUAAUGCGGGAAACCGUGAUGGAGCGACGCCGCGUGUGCGAUGAAGGCCUUCGGGUUGUAAAGCACUGUCAGUUAACCCUAAUCCCCUGGGGUGAAUAGCCUUCAGGGUUGAAGUGUUAGCAGAGGAAGCACCGGCUAAAUCCGUGCCAGCAGCCGCGGUAAUACGGAUGGUGCGAGCGUUAUUCGGAAUCACUGGGCAUAAAGGGCACGUAGGCGGCGCCGUAAGUCAGUGGUGAAAUCCCUCGGCUCAACCGAGGAACUGCCAUUGAAACUGCGGUGCUAGAGUGCGGGAGGGGCAGACGGAAUUCCAGGUGGAGCGGUGAAAUGCGUAGAUAUCUGGAGGAACGCCAGGGGCGAAAGCGGUCUGCUGGCCCGCAACUGACGCUGAGGUGCGAAAGCUAGGGGAGCAAACAGGAUUAGAUACCCUGGUAGUCCUAGCCGUAAACGAUGGGCACUAAGCAGGGGGCCUCCCAAGGGUUCCCUGCCGUAGCUAAUGUGUUAAGUGCCCCGCCUGGGGAGUAUGGUCGCAAGGCUAAAACUCAAAGGAAUUGACGGGGGCUCACACAAGCGGUGGAGCAUGUUGUUUAAUUCGAUGCAACGCGAAGAACCUUACCUGGGCUUGACAUGUAAGUGGUACCAAACCGAAAGGGGCGGGACCCUCUUUGAGGGAGCUUACACAGGUAUUGCAUGGCUGUCGUCAGCUCGUGUCGUGAGAUGUCGGGUUAAGUCCCUUAACGAGCGCAACCCUUGUCCUUAGUUGCCAGCGGGUAAAGCCGGGGACUUUAAGGAGACUGCCGGUGUUAAACCGGAGGAAGGCGGGGACGACGUCAAGUCAUCAUGGUCCUUACGCCCAGGGCGACAAACGUGCUACAAUGGCCGGUACAAAGGGAAGCAAGACCGCGAGGUGGAGCAAAUCCCAAAAAGCCGGCCCCAGUUCGGAUUGGAGGCUGAAAUUCGCCUCCAUGAAGUCGGAAUCGCUAGUAAUCGCGGAUCAGCCAUGCCGCGGUGAAUGUGUUCCUGAGCCUUGUACACACCGCCCGUCAAGCCACCCAAAUAGGCCGCACCCGAAGUCGCAGACCCAACCCGUAAGGGAGGGAUGUGCCGAAGGUGAGGUCUGUGAGGGGGACUAAGUCGUAACAAGGUAGCCGUAGGGGAACCUGCGGCUGGAUCACCUCCUU
Molecule: ribosomal RNA, 1553 nt
Filed under: uncultured prokaryote
Description: partial 16S ribosomal RNA
Rfam family: Bacterial small subunit ribosomal RNA
Source: RNAcentral